GAUGAAGAACGUAGCGAAAUGCGAUACUUGGUGUGAAUUGCAGAAUCCCGUGAACCAUCGAGUCUUUGAACGCAAGUUGCGCCCGAAGCCAUUAGGCCGAGGGCACGCCUGCCUGGGCGUCACACGUCGUUGCCCCCCCAUCUACUCCUUCGGGAUUGCGGGGGGCGGAUGAUGGCCUCCCGUGCGCCUCGUCGCGCGGUUGGCCUAAAUGCCAAGUCCUCGGCGACGCACGCCACGACAAUCGGUGGUUGCGAAACCUCGGUUGCCCGUCGUGUGCGGUCGUCGCGCAUCGAGGGCUCGAAAAAAUUGCCGGGCUUCGGCUCGACUUUCUACGCGACCCCAGGUCAGGCGGGGUUACCCGCUGAAUUUAAGCAUAUCAAUAAGCGGAGGA
RNAcentral lists this unclassified non-coding RNA (391 nucleotides) under soil metagenome. RNAcentral's name for it is "partial contains 5.8S ribosomal RNA, internal transcribed spacer 2, and large subunit ribosomal RNA". The stretch from base 1 to 122 matches the Rfam family "5.8S ribosomal RNA", at positions 35 to 154 of the family's 154-position model. The record is from RNAcentral.